GCCUGGGUGGCUCAGUCAGUUGAGCAUCCGACUUUGGCUCAGGUCAUGAUUUCACGGUCUGUGGGUUCAAGCCCCAUGUCAGGCU
This 85-nucleotide transfer RNA is filed under the name Felis catus (domestic cat). It matches the Rfam family "tRNA". Rfam says of the family: Transfer RNA (tRNA) molecules are approximately 80 nucleotides in length. Their secondary structure includes four short double-helical elements and three loops (D, anti-codon, and T loops). Lineage: Eukaryota; Metazoa; Chordata; Mammalia; Carnivora; Felidae. The record is from Rfam by way of RNAcentral.